RNAcentral lists this long non-coding RNA (6516 nucleotides) under Vitis vinifera (wine grape). RNAcentral describes it as "long non-coding RNA (VVIN_LNC000016)". Lineage: Eukaryota; Viridiplantae; Streptophyta; Magnoliopsida; Vitales; Vitaceae. The record is from RNAcentral.
GGAGCUGAUGGCACAUGAUAGCUAAUCUGAUGGGUGAUAAAGCUUUCUUCAGAAAGGAGAAAAGGUAUCAAUGUUGAGACUGGGUUUAGUCAGGAUUGGCUUAGCUUUGAGUCUAUGAGGCAUUUUACAUAUCGUAAAUUACAUAAGACCUGNNNNNNNNNNNNNNNNNNNNNNNNNNNNNNNNNNNNNNNNNNNNNNNNNNNNNNNNNNNNNNNNNNNNNNNNNNNNNNNNNNNNNNNNNNNNNNNNNNNNUUUAUAAAAUACUUUUAAAAUUUAAAAAAUUAUUUAUAGUGUUUUCUAAAUAAACACUUGAUAUAUGAUUAUUUUAAAAAAUACUUUUAGAGAAAAAUACUUCAAUUAAGAGGGUGUUUGGUACCAAUUUUAAAAGGUGUUUUUGGUUUUUCUAAUAUUUGAAAAUUUUUAUUUUUCAAGUGUUAUAAAAAUUAAAAACACUUCUUAAAAGUACUGUCAAAUGCACUUUAAGAGUACAUUUGGUAAUAAUUAUAAAAAACAUUUUUAACAUUUCAAAUAUUUAAAUGAUAAAAAAAAAUUUUAAUAUUACAAAUGUUAUAAAUACUUCUUAAAAUCAUUGUCAAACGAAUUCUAAAAAUACUUCAAAUAAAAAACAUUAGUAAAGACACUCUAAGUUUUAUAUUUUAAAAAAUAUUUUUUUAUAAAAAAAGAAGAUAAUUAUAACAUGUUCAAAAAUAUUAAUUAAAUGAAAGUUUGUUUUCGUAGAAAACAAAAUAUGAAUUUUCUUAUUUCUUAAAAACAUGGUAUUGACAAAUGUAGGAUUAUACUCAACAAUGUUAAUCAAAUGCUCUUAAAAAUUAUGUUUGACCUUUGAAUUCUAUUUUUGCUGAUCAGGGUUUAAAUCCUAUUAAGUUCCCUUCACUAGGGUUUAUGUUAUGUAUAUCUUCUUCCUUUUUAUAUCCUCCUAACUUUUUUUUUUUUUUUUUUGAAAAAUGCCCCAUAUGCAAUGCGGGUUUUUCCAUGGUUAAAAACAUUAGCUUAUUGUUUAAGUAUGAGCAUUAAGACAAUAUCCUAUCAAAAAGUUGUGACCAAAAGAAAAAGAAUUGUGAAUGUGAAAAGCAUUGUCUCAAAUUUCAUAAGUGGUUUCAUACUUUGUUGGUCAAGUGUUAUCUUUUCAUCCAUUAACUACAUAUUGGGGGUCCAUGUCAUUGAGACAAACUCACCACAAAAUAUUUGUAGUGGUCCAACAAGAAUUGCAUGCAUGCUAUGAUGAAUUGAUUUUUCAAUCACCAUCAUAAUUCAAUGAUUGUAAUUGAAUUUAAGCAAGAUCUUUAUUUUUGAAGUUUCACUCUUAUGGCCUUUCAUCUUCUCUUGACAAGAAAUAUAUCGUGCGAAUGAAAAAAUCAGGUGUUCUUUGUUAGUGAUUUUAAGAUAGUUAUUAAAGGGAAUCAGUAAUGAUUUUGAAGUGAUAGUAAUACAUUUUUCUAAUAAUUUUUAACACGACCAUGGAAAGAGUAAUGAGGUAAUAAUUAUCUUAUCAUCGAAACCGUAUUUUAUCUUUUAUCUUAGUUAGAAAUUGAGGCCGAAGUCAAAGUUAUAUUUUUUUUAAGUAAAUAUUAAUAUGAUAAAGGUUUCUUAAACAUUAAAAACUAUAGUGUAUACACUAAAAUAUGUCUUUAAUAAUAAGCAACUUUUUUUGACUUUCAUAUUAAGUUUUUAUUUUUGAUUUUUGAUUUAUUAUUUUUGUUUUUUAAGUUAUAAGCUAUUUGAAUAGAAUUAGUCAAUAGGGUAUACAAGUUGUUAUUGAACUUGAAAAAAAAAUGAGGUAUACAAGUUGUUGAACUUGAAAAAAACUUUUGAUUUUUCAAAAGUCAAUUCAAACAAGCAAUUAUAAAACACACACACAUAUAGUCAUUGACUCUAAUAUAUAUAUAUAUAUAUAUAUAUAUAUAUUAGAGUCAAUGACUUUAUUAAGUGAUUAUAGAGUGUCUAGUUGUCAUAUUUAACAAUUAAUUGAAAAAUAAAUAAAUAAAUAAAAUAAAAAACCUAAAAUGUGCAUGGGAGGAGGAAGGUUGCACGAGGUAAAAGGUAAUUUAUAUUAAAAACUUGUUUGGUAACUAUUUUUUAAAAAAUAAUCUUGUUUUUUUAUUCUAAAAAAAUAAAAUACAUUUGAAAAAAAAAAUGGAAAAGAAUUUUUUUUUUGUUUUUAAAAAUAAAAACCAUAAUAUUUUCAAAGAAUAUAUUUUAAUUAUUUUCAAUUGUUUUCACUUAUUUUUUUAAAAGUUGUUUAAAAAAAUAAUUCUACAAAUAUAAAAAAUGAUUUAAAAUAAAACACUACAUAUAUUUUUUUAAAAUAUAUUUAAAAAUAUAGAAAACAUAUUUAAAAUAUUUUAGAUUUAUGAAUAGUUUUUUAUUUUAUAAAAUAUUAAAGAAUAGUUUUUAAAAAUUAUUCUCAAAACCUACUUUCGAAAAUACUUCCAAUUGAGUCUAAAUCUUGCUUUCUAGAAAAACGAGGUCCAAGCCCAUGAGACCCAAACCCAUUCCUUGGGAUUUUAUGGGCCCUUACAUGGAGGGACCUCCUCGAGUUUAGGCCUUAGCAAGUGGGCCUAAUUUAAGGAUAUUUACCUUAAAUAUCCUUAGACGAUGAGUGGCGAUGGAAAUGAGGCGAAACAAAUACUUAGAGCCACGUGGACCGAGUCAUCACGAGGCUUGACUCGGUGAAACCAGGAUCAAUUCCCGAGCUGACUCACCAUCACAUUUCAUUCCCUAAAACCCUACCUUCAGGCUUCAAGCAGCGAAAGCGCGAGAAAGUGCGAGAAAAUGGCGAGAAACUCCGUUCUUCUGCGACACCUCCUUCGAUUCUCUCCCUCGUCUCGCGCUCGUUCUUCUUCUCUGAUCGAGACCCUAGCUUCAUCUCCGAUUGCUGUCCCAUCCCCUCCCAUUCAUACAAUUUCCUCCUUUUUCACCACCGCCACCGCUAACUCUCAGUUCUCGCGGCCUUGUUUGAAUUACCGUACACUUUGCUCUUCCUCAGGUACCUCGCAUUUCCCGUGCAAUUUCUCAUUUACUUGUUUUAUUUUUCAUUUCCAUUUUCGUCGUCAUCUUUCGAGUUGUUAUUGCUUUGCUUGGAAAAAUAUGAUCCUAGGGUUUGUUUUUCGAAAUCAAACAGCUGUCUUCAUCGUUUCGAUUAGAAGCAAUUUGCGAUUUAGGGUUUAUAUUCUUUGUAUAAAUCACUGCUUUUAAAUUUAUUCAGGCUCAAUUGUGAAUUUUACCAGUGUUUGAUUAAAAAAUGAUAUAAUUUCUACUUGCAUUAUGGUUUGAUGAAUAAAUCAAGCAUUAUGAAUGAAUUUAAUUCCAGGUCAAUCAAAAAUUGCUCUGAUUAAAUCAGAAGAAGAGUUCAAUACUUCACUUAGCAAGGUUCAAGGUAUUUCGUUUUUCUUCUCUUAUAUUUUGUUUGUUUGCAUCUCGUUACUGUUUUCUCUAAUUCUUACAGCACUUCUCAUUGGUUACAUACUUGUUCAAAUUCAUUGUAAUAGAUGAAUCUUUGCCUGCAAUUUUCUACUUCACUGCAGUAUGGUGUGGGCCUUGUAAGUUUUUGAAUUAUUUCGUUUUCUACUUCAUUGAUUCAAGGAAGGGUAUUGUUUAAUCGGUUUUAUGGCAUAUUUAUUUCGUGUAGGCAGGUUUAUAGCUCCUAUCAUAGCAGAGUUAAGUGAAAAGUACCCUCAUGUCACCACAUACAAGAUUGACAUUGAUCAGGUGAGGAGAAUUUUUCCUUGUCCAAUUAGAAACUCAUGUUUAUGAGUUGAUAACACAUUGAAUUUAUUCUCAUGAAUCACCCUGUAUGCUUUUUAUACAGAUGAUCAAGAUUGAACUUGAAGAAACUGAUUAUUGAUGUUUUAAAUUAUGAAAUUUUGAUAUCAAUCUUAAAAAUAUCAUUGUAGUAGUUCUCAUGAAUAGGGUAACAUUCAAGAGUUCAUAGAGAAACAUCGUGAGAAAGUUGAGAAUUUGGUGGUUUGUAUAAGAAAGGAAUAUCAAAAGUACUUGUAAAAAUUCAUGAUUGAAUGAAAGGUGACAUAGGCCCUGUUUGGAAAUUGCUAUUGAAAACAUUUUAUGUUCUUUUGAACAUAAAACAAUUUUCUAACUCAAAAAACAUGUUUGACAAACUUCUAAAAAAAAAUAGUUUUUUGAGAAUUUGUCAUAAAAUAGGUUGUUUUUUAUAACAAAUUUAAGGUUUUUUAACAAUGUUUUGAGCAAUAAUUGAAAACAUGGAGAAUAUUUUAGGAACUUUUACUUCGUAUAUACUUGUAGAAGAACAAGCGGAGAAAACUGUUUUUCAUAUUUAAGUUCCCAAACAGAAUUUUGUUCUUCAAAACAAGUGGGAACUGUUUUCAGAAACGUUUCCAAGCAGGCUCAUAGAAAAGCAUUUUCCAAGAAGCAUGGUUUCAGAGUUGUAUGGACCAAUAAUAGUAUGGUGCUUGCAUUACAAUUUACAUUUAGCCUUGAAUAGUUGUUUAAUUGUUAAGUUGUUUCUAUUAAGCAUAUUGUUCAUUGGUAUUUCUGUAGGACUUACUUUGUUAACCUAUUUGCAGGAUGGGCUUGAAAACACCCUAAGAAGGUUAAAUAUUGCCUCCGUGGUUAGGCUACUUGAUCCCUUCUUUUCCCUUAAGAAUUGUUUUGAGUUUGGUUUAUAAUUCAUGAAGCAAAGUGGUCAUUUAUUUCUUUUAUUGGUGAAUUAAGUAUCCUGUUUUUUGUAUUUGGAUGAGUAAAUUUGUGCAUAUUUGCACUGAAGAAUACAUUAAUAUCAUAACUUUUCUUCAAAUAAUUGUCUUAUUUACAGAUUGGUGUCUGCCAUCACAAUUUUAGACCAGUUAUCUUUCUUUCUGUUGCUUGAAUUGGCUAGUGAUAUUUAAUCAGAGCAGACUCUCUCCAUUUUAGUUAAUUGUAUGUGCUAAAGAUGUUUCUUGACUUUCUUCUGUUGCAGCCAACACUCCACUUCUUUCAAAAUGGGAAAAAGGCAGCUGAAAUAAUCGGUGCUGAUGUUGCCCGCUUGAAGGAUACCAUGGAUAAACUCUACAAGUAAUUCCCCAGUGGUUUGCCUUUCUGCAUUGUGUAUGCUUUUGCAUGGAUUUUUCUUUGAACAAGGGCUUCCAUAGUUGGCUUCAGGGCUAUAAACGGUUUGCAUUUGAGUUCCAAUCCAUAUUUGAUUCAUAUCAAACUGGAAUCCAUUGUUUCUAAUUUGGUUAUGCUUUUUAGAUACAUUCAUUGGCGAAUCUAAAUACAUUUUUAUCUGAUUAAAUUCUAAGCUGAUAAUGUUACCCUCAACACACAUUUCCUGAAAACAUUUUAAAAUUUUUUGCUUAUGAAAAAGUUAUUUUUCCUUUUAUUUAGUGUAAGUUGAUUGGUCUAAAUUGUUGGGACCUUGGGUUCUAGAUAUAGAAUUUACUGAAUGAAAUCAAAUCUUUCCAAAUAUGCAUCAGAUAAAUUCGUGGCAUGGAUAGGUACAAACAAAUAAAGCAAUACUCAGUGUUCAUAGGCUUCAAUGUUUGCAUCGGCCCAAUCUUCCAAGUUGUUGUGUCUCCUUUCUCUGCAUUGACAAGUGGAUUCAGGUGCCGGUUGACACGUGUGCUUCUCUAUAAUAGACAACGAAGACCGGUUAGGAAGGGGGGUGGCUGGUUAGGCCUCUGCUCCUCCGAUGGUCAAGUCAAUCAUGGUGCUUACUAGAGGAGGCAACAAAUAAUAAGAGUAGAAAGAGAGAUAAGAGUGUCUUUGAUAACCCCUUAGCAGAUACCUAUGUAGGUUUCGGUUAGGAGUGAUGGCCAUGCCAAGAGUUGAAUCCUGCAUGUUAUCUAUACCUCAUUAAUGCUCUGAUGUAGAUAGAUCAUAGAUAUGACGGAGGCAUCUAAUCUAGCUAAACUCAUUGGAUCACAUUAAAUGCUUCAGCUGUUUCGUUGGAGGAGGGGAGGGUUAAGAAGUGGGGCAUCCAUUACUGGUCGCUGUGGGCUGUCCCGUCCUCUCUUGAGCUCAUGCCUUUUACACCCACACACAAGUGAUAUCAACAAUUCAGGAAGAUGAUUGAAUAAUUCGAUUCUCAGACCUGAAUCUGGAUUGAUCAUUUGUCUUGCCUUGUAUUUGAUUAACAUGUUUACAUGUAGCUUCAAGUCAUAGCUAUGAAGUCUGCAGUUUCAGCCAAGUAAUUUUCUCAUUGUUUCCAUUUGCAGGAAGGACUGACAGAAGAUUUUCCAGGGUGGGAGCUGAUGGCACAUGAUAGCUAAUCUGAUGGGUGAUAAAGCUUUCUUCAGAAAGGAGAAAAGGUAUCAAUGUUGAGACUGGGUUUAGUCAGGAUUGGCUUAGCUUUGAGUCUAUGAGGCAUUUUACAUAUCGUAAAUUACAUAAGACCUGAUUAUCAAUUCACUGGUAUGAGAAAACCUCAGUAUCAAAAUCUCCGUUUUGCUUCCAAAUCUAUGGAAAUCGGAUUGUAAUGUUGUCAUCGGUUCAUUGUCAUUCAAUUGAUAAAUGAGUUUCUGAUUCAUUAUCAGAGCUCAC